UGUCUGACCUGACAUUGCGGGAAUCGGGCCCAGGACUGGUGAAGCCCUCGCAGACCCUCUCCCUCACCUGCACUGUCUCCGGGGCCUCUAUGAAUAAUAAUGGUGUUGGCUGGGUCCGCCAGGCUCCAGGGAAGGGGC
Ceratotherium simum simum (southern white rhinoceros) is the source of this 138-nucleotide non-coding RNA. Lineage: Eukaryota; Metazoa; Chordata; Mammalia; Perissodactyla; Rhinocerotidae. The record is from RefSeq and is a predicted model, not a curated record.